Anser cygnoides (Swan goose) is the source of this 3691-nucleotide long non-coding RNA. The record is from Ensembl. Lineage: Eukaryota; Metazoa; Chordata; Aves; Anseriformes; Anatidae.
CGUUUGACUUUUAAAUCUGCAAAUGGAGUUAACCACUGAUGUGCUCCUCAGUUUGGAAGCGCCAGCCGAAGGAGCUGCAGGACCUGGGGAUGCUGGUGUGGUCCCUGAGCCAAGCAUGGAGCCUCAGCCUCUCCCGGGGAGGCCUGUCUGUCCUUGGCUGCAAGGAUCUGCUCAGCAUCCGCGGCAGUGUUCCUGGACCAGCUUGGCACCAACUGUUGCUGUUCCUUGCCAGCGAAUCUCACCCAGAGACACGGCUUUGAUCAGCGCGCUCGGAUGUCAGGCUUCAGCCUUGAUCAAGGCAAGGGGAGGGACGAGCGCGCGGACUCUUCUGGGACGGUCCAGAAAAAGCAGCUCCGAGAAAAACCGGCUUCAAAGGAACAGGCGGUGCUGCCGGAGGAAGGGUGAGGAGGAGGAAGGGGGGGCUCCAGGGGCUCCCCGUGGGCACGGUGAGGGGUGGGCCCGGCAGGGCCCGUGACAGCGGCGUCCGUGGGGCUGGAGCCGCUGCUGGGCGAGGGCAUGGUGCGGGCCUGGGGGCAGAGGCCACCCAGCCGACCUUCUCCUCCCGCAGCUCCUGCACACACUCAGGUGUGCGCACACACACACACACACACACACGUGUGUUCCCCUUCCCUUCGCGCCGCAGAUGGCAGGCAGAGGAGCCAGCCAGCCAGAUGUGUUUUUCAUAGCUCCCAAGCCGGGCAUAACUAAACAUUUACAUUUAUUACCAAUUAGAGGGGAAACAGACUGUAGUUUUAUGGACUGCGUGUGUCUGGGGGUAUUUCUCGUCAUGACCUUACCCCAGCAACCAACAGGCAGUUUCAGGGGGACGCCACCUUUGGGGACACCUGCCUGCGGCCAGGGGACCGCAGCGCUGCUGGCACAGCACGUGGGAUCCCCAGCUCUGUGUGCACGGUUCCCCUCUCGCUCCGCUGAUGUGCUGGGUGGAAAAUUGAAUUUUUUUUUUUUUUUUCCUUUCUCCCUCAACCUUGCUGGAGUGUGACAGAGGUGGGAGCUCUUGGCAGCUGGGAUGUUAAAUGUUUUUCCACAUGGUCUCUUGGUUAUUAAUGGAUUUUAGCACUUGACAAAGUAGAAAUUAGGAGAUAAAAGCUAUUAGAAACUAAUUUGGGUAAUCACCGCGUCUGUUCCCCCAGGAGCCUUCCUGAGAACACCGCUCCCAACGCUGCCACCUCUUGGGAGAGAGGGGACCCCCGUGGGACGGGGUCAGGAUGCGGCCCAGGAGCAGGUCAGCUCUGGGCACCUUUCCCGUCCCAGCAGCCGCCGGGGAUUUAUUGCGUUCCCCGUGGUUUAUACGCUGUAAUUUUGGGCUGUUCUGUCAGCGAAACAGCCAAACUAGUUUGGAAAAACAACGUGCGUGCGUUGCGGUGGCUCUGGUGCAGGAGCAGAGCCGAGAGCGCACGGAAGGUCCCCUGGUGCAGGGCCGGUGGCUUUCAAAGUGAGGGAUCAGGGAGGAAAACCACUAGAAAGGGGAGAAAAUAGACUGAAGGAGAGAAACGGAAAAUGUGCUGAAGCAGCUGAUGACAACCCAAACAGCAGGGGAAGGCUCCUGCCUGCCAAUUAACGAGGCUCUGGCGCUAAUUUGCCACCUCGGUUGCACUUCUGAGCUUGUCAGGAGACAGGGAAAUAACAGACAAGGCUGAAAAAGGAGCGGCAAGGCUCCGUCUCGCCUCUCGGCUACGCGGGUGCUGCUGCGCUGUGGGGUGGUGUGGGCACACCCCUGGGGGUGCUGGAGCACGGGGCGUGUUUGUGCGGGAGGGGAAACUGAGGCACGGCGCAGCUCCGAGCCCUGCAAACAGCAGAGCGGUGUUGGCUGAGCAGCUGGAGGCGAAAAGGCCUCAAGCUGCCCAAUUUGUGCCCUUGGGUCCAUAGGGACUGCAUCCCAUGGUCUGCUUUGCUGGCUGGGUGCAUACGUGGAGAUCCCACGUGUGCUCAGGGGCAUCUCUGGCAUGCACCCAGCCCACGUUAGGAGGAGGGUGGCGAGGGAAGGCAGCUCCUCGAGAUGCUGCCGACGCCUGAGGGCUCUCGUUUUUGUAUUCACGCAGCUUCAGGAUAUGUGACCAGUUAAGGAUGCAGAAAAGCACGGUAGGAGAUGCUCUGUCUAGAGGAGCCGGGCUGGGAGCAGAGGAUCGUGAGCCUGACACGUCCUGCGUGGUGAUGGGGAGGCAAAGCGACGUGCCACCUCCGAGGAAGACGUGUGGCAGCAGCAGAAAGGGUCUCUGUGGCUGGGAAGCCUCCCGGUGCUGGCCAGGAAGGGGCAGUCUGGUUUCUCCCUGCACUCCAAGCACGUUCCCUGGUGCCACCUGCUCGGGAAGGGGGUGCUGCCAUCACCGCAUCCCCCAGGUCACUGCUUUCCUGCUCAGCUGUGACCCGUCCCAUCCCUCCCUAGCACAAACAGGGCUGCUUCUCCCCCCCCUUUGGGGCAGAUGUCCCACCCUGACCCUCACCAAGACGAUGGCUUUGACUCCCUCUUUCCUCCCUGUGUGUUUCAUUGCCUGUCUUUUCUGUUUUUAGGACUGGGAGACACAGGCAAAGGAAGGCAGCUGUACGGAGAGCAGAAGUCCAGGUGACAGCUUGAGGGAUGCUGUAAGCACCAUAGGCUGCCUGAUGGAUUGAUAGAUCAGACAGGGAAUAUAGUUUAUCUACUCCGCUUUUAUUUUCCUCCUGCUUAUCUCUUUAUCUGUAUCGCCCAAGGAUGGAGGAGAGGGGGAGCAGCAGGAGAGAUGAAUCUGGGUUGCCGUGGCUCUUCCAGCAGUCGCGCAGAUGAGUUUUGGCAGCCAGGGAGGAUUUGGCAGAGUCGUGAAGAUCGCCCCGAGCAGUGGGGCUGCUGCUCUUCUUCAGCCCCAGGGUAGGAAGCAGGGUAGGAACGGGGCUUUCCCACUCCUGUCUUACCUCCGUGGGGCUGGAGGUGAUGUCUUUUGAAGACCCUGUGAUGUGGGAUGCAGUGAUGCCCUUGAUCCCUGUGCUGGGUUUAGCUGAUGGAGAGCUGAGGCGGCUCUGGGGGCAUCCAGGAUGGGCUGCACCUAGUUUCGUGCCCCUUCUAAGGGGCAAUGAACGAGGAGGGCAACGAGGACACCGCGGGUAUGGAGCAACCUCCCUACACAGCCCAGGUAAGGGAGCCACGGCACAGUGCUGACCAUCAUCUACACAACUGAGUGCCCGGAAAGGGCGGCUGAGGUCAGUUAGUGCCCGUCUCUUUCCACACCACAUCUCAGGAGCACCACGCGAGGCUCCUACGGGCCGCGUCUGGCGUGCCCGCGGAGGUGCUACGUGCCACAGUGAGCGCAUCCGACGGUCGUAAUGGGCCUCCUCGGAGCCCCUGGCACAGCCCUGGCAGCUAACGAAGCCCUUGGUGGGAGGCAGAUGGUUGGCCAGCAUGGGCUGAGCUCCCAACCUCUGCCCCGGGGGCACAGAGGGGGUCUCACACAGCACAGGGGUCUCCUCACCACCCCCCUGCAGCACGGCAAUGGAGAAGCCAGGGCCAGAGAUGACAGUGAGUGUUCUUUUUUUUUUUUUUCUUUUCCUCGGUUGUUUUUGGUUGCUCUUUUGCUCAAAAAAAGGCAUUUUUUUUAAAAAAUAUAUUAAACAGAUACAUUUUACUAAGAUGUCCCUUGGCUGGAGCCACUGACAAGAAAUAACCCUCCCCAAAUAAAUAGGCUUAAAAAACUCCCUCCCA